Symphalangus syndactylus (siamang) is the source of this 1389-nucleotide long non-coding RNA. RefSeq lists it as uncharacterized. The record is from RefSeq and is a predicted model, not a curated record. Lineage: Eukaryota; Metazoa; Chordata; Mammalia; Primates; Hylobatidae.
CAUGGGCUGAGCUCUGCUGGUGCCCCAGACUCAGGCUGCAUGCCCAGGCUGCAGUCCAAAGGGUACUCAGUGCAGGUCCCUUUGCCCCACAGUGGCCUGGAUCAGCUGAGCUGCUGUGGCUACAGCUUCUUCCAUUUCUUGAGUAACUGGGGGGUGUAUCAUUUUCAAAUCUUUUCAGACAAUCCCUGGUGACUCCUGGCAGUGGGUGGUUAUCAUGGUGAUCUCCAGAGGGCCCAAGGCCUUGCCCCCAAGCAGCACCCAGCAAUCCCUGCGCCCACCCAGGCACUAAGCGUUUGUGGUGGGCCUUUUUCUGGAAGCUCACCUUCUCCUCCUGUUUGUCCUCCGUCUUCUUCAACCCGGUACUUCUGGCUAUCCUCCUUGUCAUCACAAUGGGACCACUGAGUGCUGGACACUCAGAAGCCACCAUGGAGACCUCGAGUCCUUCCCAGGCCUGGCCAACAGGGUGGGGAAUUGUAGAGAAGUCAUCUUCUGCCUCCUGAAGGCUGCUAGCAUCAGGGCUUGACACACUGAGGCUGGCAGCGGCCUUCUGAAGGCCAGAGGAGAUGGCCCAGGACACAAGGCUGAAGCAACCUGUUUGAGCCAAAAAUCUGCUUAUGUCCUCCUGAAUUUCAGCAAAUUUCCAAAGGAUCUGUCAGAAUCCUGCCCUUUUUUCUGUCUCCAGACCAAAGUCCUCCAGGAAAUGCAGCUGCUUCAGUGACAAGAGAUAAUUGUCAUCUACUGACUGAGGAGGAAUUUGUGGUUUGAAGUGUGACACAGUCAGAAUAAAAGCUGGUCCCUCCGUUUGGGGUUCCUGACUUCCUGCAACAAUAAGGAUACAAAUGUGCACACAGAGAAAUAGCCACAUGAAGAAACAAGGAGAAGGCAGCCACAUACAAGCCCAGGAGGGAGGCCUCAGGGAAAACAAACACUACUCACACCUUGAUCUUGGACUUCAUCCUCCAGAUGAAGUCCUUCACCCUCCUUCAUCAGUUGGAAGCUUUUGAUUCUGAAUACUCUUCAAAUGCUGGAAGGCCUUGCGUUUUCUGCCAUGAUUGUGAAGCGUCCUCAGCCACGUGGAACUGUUCACACAUGUUGGCUAUGUAAUGUGUUGAUUGAAUGUGACUGUCCCCCAAGCACCCAAAAAUCUCUUCUUGACUGACUCCAAGAUGAAGAGAACAUCUUUGAGGCAUGGAAUCCCAGUGAGCAUCCUGCACUCUCAGUGUCCAGCUGCCUGAAGCCACAGUUGUUUUGGAAGAUUGAGAACAAUUGCUUUUUGCUGAGGAGACUUAGCAAUCCACAGCUGAGGAGUUCUGCAAUAAAAUGCCUGCUUCCACUACCAGAUGGUAUCUAUAUUGGGACAAAAUUAAAUUUAUUAAUUACUUCUAAAAA